AAAAUUCGUUGGCUUUAUAGACCGUGAG
This 28-nucleotide transfer RNA is filed under the name Palhinhaea glaucescens. RNAcentral's name for it is "partial transfer RNA-Leu". The record is from RNAcentral. Lineage: Eukaryota; Viridiplantae; Streptophyta; Lycopodiopsida; Lycopodiales; Lycopodiaceae.